GGGGUGGGUUGGAGAUUUGUUUUUUCGGACAGAAAUCGGAAGGAAAAAAAUCGAGAAGCAAUUAGGGUUCUAGGGUUCUUGAGGCUCGAUUCUGAUUCUUUCACUUUAAAUUUUCACUUCCAAAAAUACAAGAAAAACGAACAAAAAAAGGGGGAAGAAAAGAAUUAAUUGUUAUAUUCAGUUUCUGUUUUCAUUUUUCUUCAUGGAAUUCGUUGGAAGCGUGGUCAAGUACUGAAGGUUUGUCCGCCACUCGAGGUGUUCGUGUUCGCGUUCCUUGAUCCGGUCUCCUGCUCUGUUGCUUUAUCAUUGAUUCUGGAUCUUCACCAUUUGUUUUUCGAUGUCCACUUCAUCACCAAAUUUUCUUCUGUUGUAAAUCGAUUCUCACAAAGGAUAAUCGAAAGCUUUAUUUCUAGGUUCGUUUGAUUUCUCCUAUUCUGUUUUGGUGUUAUUGAAAAUAUGAUAAGAUCCAUGGCUAAGUAGUUUAAAGAUUGUUUCAAAGCUGAUAUGCUGGAAGUUAUUUCAGUAUUUUGUGUUGUGUGCGAUCCUUGAGAUGGAAUCUGGUUGAUUGCUACUAUGAAUGGUCUGAAAUUCGACUUCUGGCCUUUGCGUAUGCUUGAAACAUAGGCUUGGUGCUUUGUUCUUGUUGUUUGUAUCAUCUGGUGUUCUUUUCGCAUUAUUUCAAUAUAUCUAAGCAUGCUUAGCUAGUGAUAUUGGAGUGAUUAAGUUGCGACUCAAUUUUGGAUUGACUGGCGUGCGUUUCACAUGUUGAUGCUUCAGUCCAUUGGUCUGUAACUUGCUAGUCUUUUCUGAUAUGUGUAUAAAUCAAGCAUGUACUUAUGUAGAUCCAUGGACAAGUAAAUACCGAUCAAUUGUGUCGGUCUGCACUCAUUCAAUUCUCUCCUUGAUUUCAAAUUGCGUUUUGUUGGUGCUGGCAGAUGACAUAAAGGAUUGUUUUCCGGGCGAAAUCAUGAUUUGUUUUUGGAUUUGGUUAGAGCACUAGGCAGUAGUCACUUGUUUUCAUUUGAACACUUAACUCUAGAAGGUUCUGCUAAUCAAUAACCCUCCUUAUUAUCCAGCUAGAAUGAGCUUCCACACAAAAAAGGAUCUGUUGAUGUUCCUAGUAUCAAGCUAAGUAAAAGGUUAAUCUGAUUUUUUUUUAAAGGCAUGUGUUAAUUAACCCUAAACUUUGUUGCAUUGAUUGUUACGUGAUAGAUUCUCUUGUGGCUUACUUGAAUCCGUGAAUUGUUUCCCUGCAUGAUCAAUUGUGUCUCGAGUCUGGUAAAUCCUGAAGCGAGCUAGGUACGUUGAGUCGACACGAUUAAAAGGCAAGUUGGGACACUUGUUAACUGGUAGGUGGCUGGAAAUAUGACCAUUUAAUUUGUUGUUUUGUCUUCGUACCAUUUUAUUAGAAGUUGUGUUGGCUUUUCACUGAGUAAGCGGAAGUUGUAAAGUGUAAAAAUGAGCUUAAUUGUCUGCUAAGAAUUCCAGCUUUUAGGUUGUCAAAAGUGAAACUGGCGGCUUAUUUUCCUAGAGUGUUUACAGGAUCAUGAAUAUGAAUUGGUUACCUGACUUUGUAAAUGGGUUAUGUAUGAAAAUAUGCCCGUGUGGAGUGAGAUUCUGUUGCUUCUAAAAAUAGGUUAUGCAGUGUGCGAGACUGAUUUUCCAGGCAGUAAGUACAACUAAGAUUGUUUCUUGAGGAAUUUGUCUUAUAUUGGGGGUAAUUGUCGAAUUGGGGUGGGGGUAGAGGUGUGGGGGUUUCAGGAAGUGCCUAGAUAUGAAUUUCAUUGGUACAAAAGUUAUGGCUCUUAUCAUAUUUUAUCUACAGCUCCUUAACUUUGUUUCAUUUUUCUCUGUUCUGUUGAGUUUGAUGCAUAUCUCGUUUCUUGUUAUUUCUGGAUGUGAUGCUAUCGUUGUGAUGUUUGGUUUCGAGGCGAGAGAUCGUCCCCUAGUUAAAUUUAUCCGGGGGAUGCCCCGUGAAGUUUGUAUAUGUUAGUUUAUUGCAUAUCUCAUUUCUUUCUUGUGCUUUCUGGAUGUGAUGUUGUCUUUGUGAUGUUUGGUUUGGAGGCGAGAGAUCGCCCCCUAGUUAAAUUUAUCCUGGGAAUGCUCCGUGAAGUUUGAAUAUAUUAUUAUCCGGGGUAUUGCCCCGAAGUAUUUGUAAUUGGAGACGGAAAGUAGAACCAUUAGUAUUUUUAUUUUUAUCACUUUUGAUUUUUCUUUCAAUAGGUGGGGACGACCUCGAGCCUCUUGUGUGUUUAUUUUCCGUUUCUAUGUUUUCUACCUCAAUUGAAUA
Molecule: long non-coding RNA, 2290 nt
Filed under: Nicotiana benthamiana
Lineage: Eukaryota; Viridiplantae; Streptophyta; Magnoliopsida; Solanales; Solanaceae
Description: long non-coding RNA (NBEN_LNC019058)
Source: RNAcentral